Molecule: unclassified non-coding RNA, 78 nt
Filed under: blood disease bacterium R229
Lineage: Bacteria; Pseudomonadati; Pseudomonadota; Betaproteobacteria; Burkholderiales; Burkholderiaceae
Description: ctRNA_p42d
Source: RNAcentral
GCAGCAACCACACAAGGGCCGCUUCGGAGCAAUCCGGGCGGCCCUUUUCUUUUGCGCUUGUGUCAACUGCCUUUUCGU